This 740-nucleotide long non-coding RNA is filed under the name Mustela putorius furo (domestic ferret). RNAcentral's name for it is "lncRNA (ENSMPUG00000032063.1)". The record is from RNAcentral. Lineage: Eukaryota; Metazoa; Chordata; Mammalia; Carnivora; Mustelidae.
GCAAAACCCUCCAGUAUGGUGUGGGGUAGCUGUGGCAGAGGACACAAAGAGAGACGCUUCAAGACUCACAACCUGUCCUUCCCUGGGCCCAGUGGAUUCUCCUUCAUGACCAUCUUUGGACUCGGAACUCUCCGUCGAAGCUUAUUGCUCUUGCUAUGGCUCAACACUUAUUAGCACUGGACUCCCUCCUUUCAGAGACUUUUCCUGGCCUUGCUACUUCAGUAGCUCCUGAAGCUGGUGGUUUCACCUGUUAGUGCCAGCUACAACAAUAACAGUGAUAGCUAAUACUGAGUGCCUGUUUCCUGUAUGACAGGUACCUCUCUAAGUGCCCUAUAAAUGUUAGCCAAUUUAUUUCUCCCAAUAGCACACUAUUUGUCACCCCCAUUUUACAGAGGAAUAAACUGAGAGGUUUAGCUCUCAGCUAGUAUUGUAGUAAAUUAGGGUUUAAGGCUCAGGUGGGUUGGCUCCAGAUUCUAUGCUCAUAAUUAUUGAACUGUAUUGAACCAAACUACUCCUUCCAUGUGGUGGCCAUCCACAUCAUUAUGAGCACCUGAAACAAACUUAGGUGGCUUCAUUGUCCAAAAACACAUAGUUCAUUGGCCUCAGGGAGACUGACCACAAAUUAAAGUGAGGAUGGUCAGGAUGAUAAAACCACUUUAUAUUGGUGUGUGGUUUUACAGUUGGCAGGCCCCUCCUGUCACAUCCUUCCUCAUAUAGUCUCACUGCCCGCUGCUCUGUGU